Molecule: ribosomal RNA, 253 nt
Filed under: uncultured bacterium
Lineage: Bacteria
Description: partial 16S ribosomal RNA
Rfam family: Bacterial small subunit ribosomal RNA
Source: RNAcentral
UACGGGGGGAGCAAACGUUGUCCGGAAUCACUGGGCGUAAAGGGCGCGUAGGCGGCUAGGUAAGUGGGGUGUUAAAUCUCCCGGCUCAACCGGGAACCUGCACCUCAUACUGCCAAGCUUGAGUAUAGGAGAGGAGACUGGAAUUCCCGGUGUAGCGAUGAAAUUCGUAGAUAUUAGGAAGAACACCAGUGGCGAAGGCGGCUCACUGGUCCGGUACUGACGCUGAGGUGCGAAAGCGUGGGGAGCAAACAAG